ACACUCAUUCAGCAACAGCAGCACCACCACCACCACCAGCAGCAGCGGACAGCCCUGAGGAGGGCACCAACUGUUCUGAUCUCUUGAAGAGCUCCUCAGGCAACCUUCUGUUUCUAGCAAGAUGAUACACCCAAGCCUUGAUGACAAGGCUUGGCUCUCAACCUCCUUGCUCCCCACCUCCUGUGAAAUACACAAAGAAAUUCAGUGAUCAUCGGGGAUGCUCUGGUCCAAACACUACCUGCCAGCCAGACGCAGGAGAUGGAUGGCUCAGCAGUAAUCGUGCUGCUUGAGCUUGGUGUCUAAUGGGGACAGUAGUGACAGGAAGUUCACAGGGACUGGAAGACAUGAGUUCUCUGAGGGAAAGGAAGGUGAAGCCUGGUGCUUAGGACCCUCAGGAGACCAUAGGAUGUGAGAAGGCUCAAGACACCCAGAGGUGGGGUCAGAAACAGGGCAAAGGAGACCAAGCAUGGGAGAGCUGCAGUGGACGUGUACAGACAGGAGAAGCAGGCCCUAAAGAAUCCCUGAGGCGGCAGAGAGGCUGGGCUGUGGAACUUUUUAAUUACUUUGCAUUAGGGGACUGUAGAGACCCAGAAGCCCACCCUUCCCCUCCCCUCAUCAGCUUAGCCCCAACAUAUGGUGGCUACCAAAGUAGUUAAAUCGGCUCUUGGUAGAAAAGGAAAGAGAUUCCUCCCAGGCUCUUCCCAGGGUCCACGGCCACACUCCAGGAGGGCUCAACUCCAGGGCAAGGCAGCUGGGACAGCAGGCAGCUGAAGGAGGACUAUUACUGCACCUUAGGGAAGAGUGCAGUGGCGAGUGGGGAGGACUCUGCUGGGACCCGGGGGUCAUGUGCAUUCCCAUUUAGUUGAGCUCUGCUUAAUCCGGGCCUAGGCUCACAGUAAUGGGGAACGAGGAGAGGCUCCCAUCAGAGACCAAGAAGAUGACAGACUCUCUGUAAAGGCUGUCAGAGGGGUCUGCAUGACCAACCACACCUGCUCCUGUUCCUUUGGGGCUCUUGUGACCUCCCUGUCUUCUUGUGAGAUCUUAUGUUCCUCCAACCCUGAGAGCUACAAACCAAUCUCCGGAAUAAAAAAAUCUGUCCCUCGUGCUGUCA
RNAcentral lists this long non-coding RNA (1111 nucleotides) under Mus musculus (house mouse). RNAcentral describes it as "predicted gene 10505, transcript variant 4 (Gm10505)". The record is from RNAcentral. Lineage: Eukaryota; Metazoa; Chordata; Mammalia; Rodentia; Muridae.